RNAcentral lists this ribosomal RNA (545 nucleotides) under uncultured bacterium. Its description in RNAcentral is "bacterial SSU rRNA". It matches the Rfam family "Bacterial small subunit ribosomal RNA", at positions 189 to 720 of the family's 1533-position model. The record is from RNAcentral.
CGGCCGCGUCGACGAAAGACGGUUUUGCUGUCACGUUAUAGAUGGAUCCGCGCCGCAUUAGCUAGUUGGUAAGGUAACGGCUUACCAAGGCAACGAUGCGUAGCCGACCUGAGAGGGUGAUCGGCCACAUUGGAACUGAGACACGGUCCAGACUCCUACGGGAGGCAGCAGUAGGGAAUCUUCCGCAAUGGGCGAAAGCCUGACGGAGCAACGCCGCGUGAGUGAUGAAGGUCUUCGGAUCGUAAAACUCUGUUAUUAGGGAAGAACAAAUGUGUAAGUAACUAUGCACGUCUUGACGGUACCUAAUCAGAAAGCCACGGCUAACUACGUGCCAGCAGCCGCGGUAAUACGUAGGUGGCAAGCGUUAUCCGGAAUUAUUGGGCGUAAAGCGCGCGUUAGGCGGUUUUUUAAGUCUGAUGUGAAAGCCCACGGCUCAACCGUGGAGGGUCAUUGGAAACUGGAAAACUUGAGUGCAGAAGAGGAAAGUGGAAUUCCAUGUGUAGCGGUGAAAUGCGCAGAGAUAUGGAGGAACACCAGUGGACCGG